This 7523-nucleotide long non-coding RNA is filed under the name Nicotiana tabacum (common tobacco). Its description in RNAcentral is "long non-coding RNA (NTAB_LNC004878)". Lineage: Eukaryota; Viridiplantae; Streptophyta; Magnoliopsida; Solanales; Solanaceae. The record is from RNAcentral.
AAACAAAAUCACAAAAAUAGGUUCAUUAAUGUUUUGUAGUCAUUUUUAAUUAAAAAAAAUCUUAAAAAUAUAUACAAUAAUAGUAUCGUAUUUUUAUUUUAAUAUGAUAUUUUGAAAAUACCAAAAAUAGAUUUGUUUUAAUGGUUAGUUUUAUCUUAAUAAUUAUUUGAAUAGUAGGAAUAAUUAACAAAUGGGCGCAUAUUUUAAUCUCAUUCGCGGCAAAAUAAUAGAGCUUGGGCUCGAGCAACCCAUUUUAGGCUUAAUUUUGGACCUAACCCAUAAUUGUCAAGCCCAUAAUUCCUAGGCCCAUACCCCUUAACCUAAAAAUCCUACAACCUAGACUCUACACUAUAAAAGAAUGAUGAAGACUAAAGGAAAAGGGGGAACGAUAUACACGGAAAAGGAGCUGCGCAACCUUUUUAAAGAAAAAGGACCCUCCCUUUCGUUUUCUUCUGAAAAGGAACACCAAAGAAAAUGAUGAAAAAGCUGAAGGAGGAAGGCUGAAGAACGAGAAGCUGCGCAACUUCUAAAAGAACGACUCCCCCUCCCCCAGACUUUGGUCUCCUUCGAACACGACCCCCUCCCCCUCCAUCAGUCUGGUUUUCUUCUUCUCCAAAUCCUCUCACCAACCUAACGACCCUAGGGACUAAGAAAAACAGAGUAAUUGCAGCUUCUUCAACUCCUCUCGCCCACCAGCGGCGAACUCGCCGGAAAAUGCACAGCCAAAACUCGUCAUCACCCUAGCUCCUUUAUCACCUUCAACUACUUCACUCUCUCUCAUUGGAGAUAUCACCGACGACUCGUUCUAGUUCAAAACUACCGAGUCUCUGCCAAAGCUGGUCAAACAGGUGAAGUCUGGCGAGAGACCUGGCGAGUGUCGAGGUCCGGUCGUAAUUCCAUUGAGGUUUCCGGCGAAGCCUUGAUCUAAUGGUUCGAGGACAUCACCAGGUCAGUGGCUAGCAUUGGACACUUUGGUCUCCGAGAGGUCUCUUUUCUCCUCUUUUUAAUUCUUCUAAUUUUUCUUUUUUUCCAUGAUAUUUAUUGAAUUUUGUCUACAUUAAUUUGUGUUUAAGAUAAAAUGAUAUGCUUAUUAUUAUGUGGUUGGAAUUACGUUAAUAUCAUGAAUCAAUUGAAUAGGGGUUUAGUUUUUUAAAGAUUUGACGUCAUGUAUAGCCAUAUAUUAGGCGUUUUCUUAUUUCAAUUUCAUAUGCAAUCCAUUUGAGUGCUGGAGAUUUGCACAUCAAUCUUAGAUUUAUGUUUCAGAAAACAUAUUUUGGUCAAAUAAAAUUUUGGAAAAGGGAACAAAAUAAAGUAGCUCAAAUGGGUUUUAAGGUUGGGCAGUUGGUUAAUCUCAUUAAUAAUCCAAUUUUUCUUAUCUAUUUUGAAUAGUUUCCUUGGAAAGUAAACAUCUCAAAUUAGCUUUUAAAAAAUAUUCAAACUAAUGAAUCUCGUAGUUGCUUUAGGCGCGAUUUUAAUUAAAUUACCUUCUUAAACUCGGGUGCGCAUUGAUGUGAUCCAAAUCCAAAUCUCGACGAAGUCAAAAUAUAUUGACAACCACGGGUGCAUUGAUUGUGACGUGGUUCAAAACGCGUUUUCACGACAUCGCAAUUCUUUUAAAAUAAAUAAUAAUAAAAAGCGGUUUACGAAUAAAAGGCACCUAAGCUAGCAGGUAUUAAAAUAAGAUAAAAUCAAAUGCAAAAGUUAAGCGACCGUGCUAAAACCACGGAACUUGGGAAUGCCUAACACCUUCUCCCGGGUUAACAGAAUUCCUUACUCGGAUUUCUGGUUCGUAGACUGUUAACAGAGUCAAAUGUUUCCUCGGUUCGGGAUACAACCGGUGACUUGGGACACCAUUAAUCUCUCAAGUGGCGACUCUGAAUAAUCAAUAAUUAAAUCCCGUUCCGAUUGUCCUUUAAAUGGAAAAAAUCCUUUACGCCCUUCCGGGGGUGUAGGUGAAAAAGGAGGUGUGACACACCUGUUUAGUGGGAUUUCAGACAGGAUUUUUGAUCAUUUUACAACUUUCUCAAACCCUAAACAUACUUAGGCGAUUUUUUAAAGGCUCAAACUUCUCCAAAUCAUAAGUAAGUGAUUUCUAACUCAUCUUCUUCUAUCUAAUCCAUCUUUUUACAUAAAUUCACUUUACAAUCUAGGGUUUUUCAUGGGAAAUUGGGUGUGUUUGGGUAGAAAUUAGGAUUUUAAAAUUUUGGGGAUUUGGACCUCAAUUUGAGGUCGGAUUUCAAUACUAAUUGAAUAUUUGAGUUCCUAAAUGAAUGAGUAAUCGAGUUUUGGUUCGAAUUUUGAGUUUUGGCCAAGCGGGCCAGAGGGCAAUUUUAUACUUUUUGGGAAAAAACAAUGGAAAAUUUAUUUUCAUGCAUUAGAAUUGGUUUAUUUAGCAUUUAUUGAUGUUAUUAAAUAAAUUAUGACUAGAUACAAGCGGAUUGAAAGUGGAAUCGAGAGGUAAAGCGGUAAUUGAGGCUUAAUCUUGUCCGAAAAAUUGAGGUAAGUGUUUGGCCUAACCUUAGCUUGAGGGAAUAGGAGUUGCGUCUUAUUUGCUAUGUGUUAGUAUGAGUACGACGUAUAGGUAUGGUGACGAGUAUCUAUAUGUUGGUGUCAAGCAUGCCCGUGAGUCUUAUAUCAUGAUUGUUGUGACUCUAUUAUGUAUCGAUCAUGCUCAAACUGAUGAUUAUCAAUGUUGAACAAAGCUUAUGAAAGUUUCUUGGUAAUUGACUAUUGUUGAGUAUUGGCUCAAGUUGAGUUUCAUUUUGUAAAGUAAUCGUUGAAAACAAGUUUGGUUAUAACUGAAUCCCUUGCUGGGAUGUUAGUGUUGAUAUUGUUGAUUCCCAUACCGGGACGUAUUGUUUCUAUUGUUUGGGUGAGGAAGAGUGUAAAGCGUGAAUGGUGAUACCGUGCAUGAUAUUGUGAGUGAGUGUAAUGCACGAAGGGUGAUGUCAUGCCGAUAUUAUGAGUGAUAAUGCACGAAGGGUUAUGUCGUGCCAUGAUUUGAGAGUUAAUUUACGAAGGGUGAUGCUGUGCCGAUAUUGUGAGGAAUAAUGCACGAAGGGUAAUGUCGUGCCAUGAUUAUUAGAGGUAACGCACGAAGGGUGAUGCCGUGUCGUUUCUUUUGUUUCAUAUGGUGAGGACGAGAGUAAAAGCACGAAGGGUGAUGUCGUGCACGUGUUACCAUUUCAUUAUUCUUGUUGAUAUAGAUAUGAUGUUCAUUAUGCUUCUUUAUUGAUGCUUCUUUAUUGGUUUAUUGUUAGAAUCUAAUAUUCCCCGUAGCAUGCCCCCUUCCCACCUUAUUCUGUUGAUUCCUGUUACUAUGAUUCUGUUUGUAUAUGAUUUAACUACACAGGUUUAUAUGGUUAUCGUGUCUUAGCCUCGUCACUACUUCGCCGAGGUUAGGCUCGACACGUACUCAGUACAUGUGGUCGGUUGUACUGAUGCUACACUCUGCACUCUUUUGUAUAGAUUUUGGUAUCGGACCCAGUGAGUAGUUGAGGUAGUUGCCUUCCAUUUAGGGAGACCAAGGUAGAUCUGCUGGCGUCCGCAGAGCCUAAAGUCCCCCUUCCCUGUUUUAGCUUUCUGCUAUCUCUUUUCAUUCCGAGAACAGUUAUACUUUUCUUUCCAGACUAGUAUUUAUAGAAAUCGUAGAUGUUCGUGAAUUUGUGACACCAGAUUCGUGGGUAGACAUGUAUUGGAUAAUUUGUUAUAACUCUUCUGCACUUUUCAUUUGUUUAACUUUAGUUAUUGUUUAUAUUUGUUUGGGUUGACUGCUAAUGGGUUAAAACCUUAAUAGUUGGCUUGCCUAGCUUUCACGAGUAGGUACCAUCACGACUCCUGAGGGUGGGAAAUUCGGGUCGUGACAUCCUCUAUUCAAGCUCAAAGAUGGGAGGUUAUAUACACAUCAAAAAAUAACAAAAAGAACUUGAAAGGCUAUAGAGUAGGGAAUAGCUUCAAACUUCUUCUCAGCUUGUGUAUUAUUGGUUAAGAAGUUGAGCCUCAACAAGACUUCAAGUCAUUUGCUGCAGAUAACAAGCUUGUAAGAACCUUGAUCUAGGUCUGACAUUGUGUUGACCCGGCCUGUCGUCUCAUGAGUUACCACUCUGUUUCCCUCAUUUCUGCUUCUUAUUGCUUUGUCUAUCGGUUCUAUGUGUGAUCGGGUUGGUUGACUUGGGUUCGGAAAGUAUUUGGUAAGGUUUGAAACACUUAGUCUCUUUUGAGGAAGCUUAAGUUGGAAAAGUCAACUGGAUGUUGACUUAUGUGUUAGAGGGAUGGAUGUGAGUUCUGAUUAUUCGGAUAGCUUCGGGGGGUGAUUUGGGACUUAGGAGCAUGAUCGGAAUGAGUUUUGGAGGUCCGGAGUAGAUUUAGGCUUGAAUUGGCGAAAUUGAAUUUUUGGCGAUUUCCGGUUGAUAGGUGAGAUUUUGAUAUAGAGGUCAGAAUUGAAUUCCGAGAGUUACAGUAGUUCCGUUGUGUCAUUUGGGAUGUAUGUGCAAAAUAUCAGUUCAUUCGGACAUGGUUUGGUUGGGUUUUUUAUCAAAAGAGGAAUUCGGAAAAUUUUGGAAACUUAGGCUUGAAUCCAAUGUGUUUUGGUUUGAUUCGAUGUUGUUUGAGGUGUUUUAAAGAUUGGUAUAAGUUUGAAUAAGGUUUUGGGAUAUGUUUGUGCUUGUGGUUGAGGUCCCGAGGGGCCUCAGGGUGAUUUCGGAUGGUUGACGAAGAGUUUGGGAGUUUAGAGGAGCUGCAGAUUUUUGCUGCUUCUAUUGUUUCCGCACCUGCGGAUUGGGGACCAUAGGUGCGACGCCGCAAAGGAGGAAUAUUCGUCGCAGAAGCGGAAGAUGGUGAAGUUGGCAGGAACCACAGAAGCGGUUGUGGGACCGCACCUGCGAUGGCGCAGGUGUAGCUUGUGCAUCGCAGAUGCGAAAAAUGGGACUUAAGUGAGGACCGCAGAUGCGGUUGUCUUGACCGCAGAAGCGGGAAUUGGGCCGCAGAUGCGAAAUCCCUGGGCCAGAAGGUAUAAAUUGUUUCUUUCGCAAUUUUUGAGCUAUUUCACUAUUUCUAAGUUGGCUUUGGAGCUUUCUAGACGAUUUUGAAGAAGAAUUUCAAGGGAACUUCAUUGAGGUAAGGAUUUUGGACCUAAAACCCGUUCCAAUGGUAUUAUUUCACGGAUUAGAGCUAUAAUUAAUAGAAUUUAAGGGCUAAAAUUGGGGAAACUAGGGCUUGGUAUUGGAGACCUAGACUUGAGGAUUUGAGGGACCAUUUGUGGUCGGAUUUUGAUACUUUUGAUAUGUAUGAACUCGUUUGGAGAUAAGGAAUCUAUUGGUGUGAAUUUUAUUGAAUUCCGAGAUGUGGGCCCGGGGUCGGGUUUUGGUAAUUUCGGGAUUUAUGUUGUAAAUUAUUUAUUUUCGCUUGGGCUUCACUCCCUUAGCAUAUUUUUACGCCGUGAUUUGUAUUUGGAUAGAUUCGACGCGAGUGGAGGCCGAUUCGAGGGGAAAAGGCAUCGCGGGCUAGAGUUUGGACCUGAUUGAGGUGAGCAAUGAUUGUGAAUGAUGUCCUGAGGAUAUGAAACCCCGGAUUGCACAUCGUUGUACUAUAUUGAGGUGACACACAUGCUUGAUAACGAGCAUGGGGUUGUGCACUCUUGGGGAUUGUGAAUUAGUCCAUCCUGAAUGACUAUUUUACCGCGUAUUUGACUGAAAUCUAUUUGUCAACAUCAUGGUUUGGGCUAAAAGCCAUAUUUGGGCCUAGUGCCAACUAUUUGAACCCUUAGGGGAUUUUUAUUGAUAUUUCCUCACUAUUUUGACUUUAUACCUGAACUCAGUCAUGUUAUAUUUCACUAUUUUCAUAACUCAGCCAUGUUUACUCUAUUUUAAUGCUUAAAUGAUAUUUUAAAUGAUAUUUUGGGCUGAGAAUCAUGUUUUACUAUUGCUCGAGUGGCUUGUGAGGAUCUUGACUGAGUAAGGUCGAGGGCUUAUGUUGUGAGGAAACAUUGACUAUGAUUAUGAGGCCGAGGGCUUGAGAUUCAUACGCCACGAGAUGGCUUGUUAAUAUGAGGCUGAGAGCCUGGAGAUGAUGCCACAAGAUGGCUUGAUAUUGCGCUUGGGUCGUAAGGGGCCCCUCCAGGAGUCUGCACACCCUCAGUGAGCGUAGGUACCCAUUGUGAUGUGAGAUGUAUCCCGAGGGGCUGGUAUUGUUCUGAAAUAUUGCCCGAGGGCCGAAAUUGUUGACAUUGUGCCCGGGGGGCGAACCUUUAUGUGUUUAUCUUUCUUAUUUGGCUGUCAUUUACCUGUUUAAUUGUUGAAAAGGCAUUCCAUGAAGUUUAAACUGAACUUAAAUGAUUUUACAUAUCUUUACUGGUUCUCUGUUUUACAACUUCAUUAUAGCCUGUAAUGUGCCUUACGUGUUUUCAUAUCUCUCAGUUGUUUAUUUAUGAUUAUUACUCACUGAGUUGGAGUACUCACUUUACUCCAUGUACCCUGUGUGCAGAUUCAGGCAUUGUUGAUCCUGCUAGAGCGAGUUGAGAGCUCCCGGCAGACUUCGGAGUCCAUGAGGUAGCUACUUGGCGUCCGUAGUCCCGUGUUCCUCCCCCUUUAUCUCAUUUCCUUCUUUUUAUCAGUUAUUCUGUAAUAGUUUAGUAGGCAUUUCAGACUUGUAGUGUAUUAAUAGAUGCUCAUGACUAGUGACACCCCAGUAUCGGGCUGUGUUGGGUUUUAUUUCCGUAAACUGUAAUGUCUACUGCUUACUUUUGGAUUAGUUUAUUACAUUAUAGACUUAAUUCGUAUUGGUUAACUGCUUAAAACUGAAAUGGGAAAGUGUCGGCUGGCCUUAUCUUCACGAGAGGUGCCAUUAUGACCGUGCCCGAGUUUAGGGUCGUGAUAAGUUAGUAUCAGAGCCUAGGUUACAUAGGUCUUAUGAGUCAUGAGCAGGUUUAUUAGAGUCUCGCGGAUCGGUAUGAAGACGUCUGUAUUUAUUCUCAAGAGGCUGCAGAACCUUUAGAAAAACUUCAUAUCCUUGAAAUUCUUGUCGUGCGAAUUUGUUGAUCCAAGUACUAAACUUCUGUUAUUCUAUUCUCUCACAGAUGGUGAGGACACGCGCUACCGGUCAGGAUGGACGAUCACCAGUACCACCAGUUUUGGCCACUAGAGGCCGAAGAUGCGGUCAUGUCGCGGUAGGGGUAGAGGUAUGGCCCACAUAGCAGCUAGGGCAACAUCUGCAGACCUACCAGCUACCCCAAUUUAGGAUCAGGUCCCAGUUGUGGAUGAUCCAGCAGCACCAGCUCUACCCAUUGUGAUUCUGGGUCUUCAGGAGGCCUUGGCUCAGAUUCUAUCAGUUUGCACUAGCCUAGCUCAGGCGGUUUCAAUCACUACAGCUGCAGCUACUUCUCAGGCCGGGGGAGGCAAUCAGACUCCUGCUGCUCACACACCUGACCAGGUCAUGUAGGGACUUUAGACGUCGGGGGCACAUCCAGCCUAGCCGGUUGUAGCUGUUCAGGACUAUGUAGUUACUGCUAUGCCAGAGGACGAGUAGCG